GGGGGGGGGGGGCUAGGAUGAAAUUUGAAAAAAUAGGCAGGACAGGAGUUUUGAGUAAAAAAAAAAGGCAGGAUGAGACACUUGCAAAAAAAAAAAGUCAGGAUGACCAUUUAUGUAAAAAAAAGUCAGGAUAAACUAAAAAAAAAAAAGCAGGACCGAAUAGAGUGAAAAAUAAAAAGGCAGGACAGAGAUUACAACUAAAAAAAAAUGCAGGACAAAAUUUUUCAUCCUAGCCCCCCAAUAAAAAUUAAAUGGUGGCUCCCUAAUUUCCAAAUUGUACACAAGAAACUAAAAUUAAAAUAAUACAAGACUAACAAAGGCCAGAGGCUCCUGACUUGGGACAGGCGCAAAAAUGUGGCGGGG
RNAcentral lists this long non-coding RNA (363 nucleotides) under Mytilus galloprovincialis (Mediterranean mussel). The record is from RNAcentral. Lineage: Eukaryota; Metazoa; Mollusca; Bivalvia; Mytilida; Mytilidae.